ACUGCUCAGUAACACGUGGACAACCUGCCCUUAGGACGGGGAUAAACCCGGGAAACUGGGUAUAAUACCCGAUAGGUCUCGACUGCUGGAAUGCAUCGAGGUCUAAAGCUCCGGCGCCUAAGGAUGGGUCUGCGGCCUAUCAGGUAGUAGUGGGUGUAGUGUACCUACUAGCCUACGACGGGUACGGGUUGUGAGAGCAAGAGCCCGGAGAUGGAUUCUGAGACACGAAUCCAGGCCCUACGGGGUGCAGCAGGCGCGAAAACUUUACAAUGCUGGAAACAGCGAUAAGGGAACCUCGAGUGCCAGGUUACAAAUCUGGCUGUCGUGAUGCCUAAAAAGCAUUGCAUAGCAAGGGCCGGGCAAGACCGGUGCCAGCCGCCGCGGUAACACCGGCGGCUCGAGUGGUAACCGUUAUUAUUGGGUCUAAAGGGUCUGUAGCCGGCCGGAUAAGUCUCUUGAGAAAUCUGGCAGCUUAACUGUCAGGCUUUCAGGAGAUACUGUCUGGCUCGAGGCCGGGAGAGGUGAGAGGUACUUCAGGGGUAGGGGUGAAAUCUUGUAAUCCUUGAAGGACCACCAGUGGCGAAGGCGUCUCACCAGAACGGACCUGACGGCAAGGGACGAAAGCUAGGGGCACGAACCGGAUUAGAUACCCGGGUAGUCCUAGCCGUAAACGAUACUCGCUAGGUGUCGGCCACGGUGCGACCGUUGUCGGUGCCGUAGGGAAGCCGUGAAGCGAGCCACCUGGGAAGUACGGCCGCAAGGCUGAAACUUAAAGGAAUUGGCGGGGGAGCACCACAACGGGUGGAGCUUGCGGUUUAAUUGGAUUCAACGCCGGAAAUCUUACCGGGACCGACAGCAAUAUGAAGGCCAGGCUGAAGACUUUGCCGGAUUAGCUGAGAGGUGGUGCAUGGCCGUCGUCAGUUCGUACUGUGAAGCAUCCUGUUAAGUCAGGCAACGAGCGAGACCCCUACC
RNAcentral lists this ribosomal RNA (972 nucleotides) under uncultured archaeon. RNAcentral describes it as "bacterial SSU rRNA". It matches the Rfam family "Archaeal small subunit ribosomal RNA", at positions 85 to 1058 of the family's 1478-position model. The record is from RNAcentral.